This 709-nucleotide ribosomal RNA is filed under the name Liquidambar formosana (Formosan gum). RNAcentral describes it as "eukaryotic LSU rRNA". The stretch from base 286 to 441 matches the Rfam family "5.8S ribosomal RNA". Lineage: Eukaryota; Viridiplantae; Streptophyta; Magnoliopsida; Saxifragales; Altingiaceae. The record is from RNAcentral.
AUUGUCGAUGCCCGCAAAGCAGAACGACCCGCGAACACAUACGAAAACAUCGGGGGGGCGGGGGGGCACGAGCCCCUUCUCCCUUCCCCGUCGAGAAGCGGCCAGUGCUAGCGUGCCCCUCGACCACGGGUUAGGGGAAAGCGUCGGUGCUUGUCGUGUUCUUAGCCCCAUAACGAACCCCAGAGCAAACCGCGCCAAGGAAACUCAACUCGAGAGCAUGCGCGCCCGCCGCCUCGGUCUCGGGGUGUGCGGGAAGCGGUGCGAUCUUGUAUGUAUACACUAAACGACUCUCGGCAACAGAUAUCUCGGCUCUCGCAUCGAUGAAGAACGUAGCGAAAUGCGAUACUUAGUGUGAAUUGUAGAAUCCCGUGAACCAUCGAGUUUUUGAACGCAAGUUGCGCCCGAAGCCAUUCGGCCGAGGGCACGUCUGCCUGGACGUCACGCAACCCAUCGCCCCCCCGAACCCCGCUAUCCUUUUGGUGGCGUGGGGCUUUGCAGGGAGCGGAGAUUGUCCUCCCGUGAACCAUGGUGUCGCGGUUGGCUUAAAAGCGUGCCCCAGGCGAUGAACGCCAACGUCUCAAGCAGUGGUGGUUACCAAACCCCGGCAUCGAUGAUGUUUGCCUUGUGCGUUGCCACGUCGCCCGCGGCACAGAGACCCCCGAACGCGUCGCACACGCGAUGUUUCCAUCGCGACCCCAGGUCAGGCGGG